This 74-nucleotide transfer RNA is filed under the name Candidatus Ozemibacteraceae bacterium. Its description in RNAcentral is "tRNA-Ala". It matches the Rfam family "tRNA". Rfam says of the family: Transfer RNA (tRNA) molecules are approximately 80 nucleotides in length. Their secondary structure includes four short double-helical elements and three loops (D, anti-codon, and T loops). The record is from RNAcentral. RNAcentral also lists the same sequence under 1 other name. Lineage: Bacteria; Candidatus Rifleibacteriota; Candidatus Ozemibacteria; Candidatus Ozemibacteraceae.
GGGGCUGUGGCGCAGUUUGGGAGCGCGCCUGAAUGGCAUUCAGGAGGCCGUCGGUUCGAACCCGAUCAGCUCCA